RNAcentral lists this non-coding RNA (26 nucleotides) under Mus musculus (house mouse). The record is from RNAcentral. Lineage: Eukaryota; Metazoa; Chordata; Mammalia; Rodentia; Muridae.
UCCUUCCAUAUCCUUUAUAUAGCUUG